CGACCGCGCGAGAAACGCUCGGGGCACUUACUCCUGGGGGCGGAGGAGGCCCCGCGCCCUCCACUCCAAGGGCCUCGCAGGAGGAAGGUCUUCGUCCCACUGUUUAGGACUUGGCCUUACACAAGAGAAGCCUUGCUCGGGAGCCUUCCGAGGAUUUUAAAUCCUCCUGGGGCAGGGUUAGGCCUGGGGCUGGCUUCGAGGUCUCGGGUUUUGAGACGCCAGGGAGGAAUUCUCAGACUGAGGCCGCACGCUUUCCGAGCGCGCUUCCCGGCGUGUGCGCGUCGGUGAGGGGCUAUCUGCAGGCGCGAGUGCACAAAAGGUAGCGCGAGUCUCUUCCCAGGCGACUCGAGAUAAGAGGAAACGAGAGCGGGGUUUUCUGACUUCCAACUCAUUAGGGACCAGACCAGGCCUACAGGAGAGGAAAAAGCAGAAAACCCACCUGCCUCACUGCUUCUGUGCCAAGUCCAGGAAUGGUGUUUGCCCUGCUACACUUGUGAGCCAGCAACAAAGGAGGAGGCCAUCAGAAGUCAAGGGCAGCCCACUCGGUCAUCCUCAAGCUUUUAGAAGGAAAACUGCCCAGUCAGCGGCAAUUUAG
RNAcentral lists this long non-coding RNA (595 nucleotides) under Suricata suricatta (meerkat). RNAcentral describes it as "lncRNA (ENSSSUG00005007979.1)". The record is from RNAcentral. Lineage: Eukaryota; Metazoa; Chordata; Mammalia; Carnivora; Herpestidae.